This 75-nucleotide transfer RNA is filed under the name Staphylococcus aureus. RNAcentral's name for it is "tRNA-Stop(tta)". It matches the Rfam family "tRNA". Rfam says of the family: Transfer RNA (tRNA) molecules are approximately 80 nucleotides in length. Their secondary structure includes four short double-helical elements and three loops (D, anti-codon, and T loops). Lineage: Bacteria; Bacillati; Bacillota; Bacilli; Caryophanales; Staphylococcaceae. The record is from RNAcentral.
UGGGCUAUAGCCAAGCGGUAAGGCAACGGACUUUAAUUCCGUCACUCGUUGGUUCGAAUCCAGCUAGCCCAGCCA